Molecule: long non-coding RNA, 947 nt
Filed under: Hordeum vulgare
Lineage: Eukaryota; Viridiplantae; Streptophyta; Magnoliopsida; Poales; Poaceae
Description: long non-coding RNA (HVUL_LNC012770)
Source: RNAcentral
UUCAAAACUAUGAAAAAUAUUUUGAAAAUUCAAAAAUAUCUGAAAAACUCGACCAAAAAUAAAACACACUAAUAUUUAUGAAAUUAUAAAUAGUGCUUCUAAAACGAGAACAUUUUAUCAAAUUCGCAAAAAACAAUUCACAAUUUGUGAACAACUUUUAGAAAGAUGGACAUUUAUUUCGAAUUGUAUAAAAAUAGGAAAAUAAUCUAAAUUAUCAACACAUUUUACAAAACAAAAAGAGGUUAUGAUUCCUCCAUUUUAUAAUUUGCAACAAAAUUCGAAAACACAAAAAGUUUUUGAAUUUUUACUAAAAUUGGAAAACCGAAAUAUUUUUUGCAAUUUUCUUGGAAUUGCCAAAGAAAUUCCUGUGUUUUGAAAGAAGUGAACAAAUUUUGAAAUUCUGAAAUGUUCUUGAUUUUCAGAAAAUUUGAAAUGUUCAAGCUUUUAUAUAAGUAAGUAAUACAAAACUAAAACUCUAAAACUUUUUUGCAAUUUCUGAAUAAAAUAUGAAAAUAUAAAAAAAUUAUUUAAAAAUGAACAGAAUUUGAAAAAUGUGAAUAUUUUUUAAAUUUUGCAUAAUCUUUGUGAAGAUGAAAAAUGAACUUUCAAUACCAAAAUAAAAAUGUUACAGGAAACAGAAAAAGGGAAAAGGAAAGAACAAAAAGAAGUAAGGAAAAAGGAAUAACCCGGUUCAGGAAACCUUCUAGAUGGUUCCCAAAACCAAAAACAUCCCUGCUAAAAUCGCUACAAGGUUCCCAAAACCGAAAACACUGCAUGAUCUUAACAGGCCGGCCGAUCUCGCCGCUCAAUCGCAUACUCAUGUGCGAAAGAUGGACAGUUUGACGUAGAAUCGGUCAUAUAGGGAUUUCUAACGCAUCACGAGCCCGGACUCUUCCCCCGCGUGCUAUCUAUAGGUAUCUAACUCACACCCUUACAUUGGCGUACGG